This 646-nucleotide long non-coding RNA is filed under the name Malus domestica (apple). RNAcentral's name for it is "long non-coding RNA (MDOM_LNC006925)". The record is from RNAcentral. Lineage: Eukaryota; Viridiplantae; Streptophyta; Magnoliopsida; Rosales; Rosaceae.
CCAAUGCUAUUCACGAUACUUAGCAAAGGAACUCAACCCAUGUUGGGUUUUUCCUCAUUUUUUCUCUAAGACCAGCAGGCAGAAGGCUUGCAUGCCCAGCAUUCCAGCAACUCAUGAGGCCCGUGACCUCCACAUCUUUCUCAAUCACUGGCCUGGCCCCCGUCAGGUUCAAGAACUCAAAAGACAUAAGCCAUAUGGCUCACCUGACACUGCUUCCCAGCGUCUCAAUCUGCGGCCCCAGCAGCGCAAGUGAUGUGAAAAAUAAGUUAACACACAAAAUUAAACCCUCUUUUAUCAAUUGUAGCAAAGUAUGUAAGUAGGGAUCGUUCUAAACCGGGGAUUAUGAGGGAUUGCUAAACACUUGAAAACUGACUUAGAAAUGUAAAAGCAAAGUUUAAAACACUAGAUUAGACUCAAAGAAUGCAAAACUCACGUUUAAAAUACUAAAAUAAACCAAUAACUCAAAACAACAACUAAAAGACUCAAAACUGCCUUAAAAACACUUUCUGGGCAGUUUUGAACACAAAGCACCAAUUUGGACGAAUUUGGGUUUUAACUUGUACCAAAACACUUAAAACAUAAACCAACACACUUUCUAACUAAUCUAGGACUUCAAAAUAAAUGGGGAAUUGAUUUGGACGAAAAU